Long non-coding RNA from Homo sapiens (human), 547 nucleotides. RefSeq lists it as uncharacterized. NCBI's taxonomy places the organism in Eukaryota, Metazoa, Chordata, Mammalia, Primates, Hominidae. The transcript has 2 exons. The record is from RefSeq and is a predicted model, not a curated record.
GCUGUCUGGCCGGUCGCUUGGCCCGGGUGGAAGCUAUGAGCGCGCCGCCAGCGGGGCUCCUCGGAGGCGGCGGGGCAGGCCCGAGCUGGGCUCCUGUGGCCGGGGUGGGAGGAGAAGAGGCCGCGCGGCACGGGUGAGUGCCCAGUCAUAGUGGUAGGAAGCAAAUGAUUUCAAAGCCCAGAUGAUGACAGAGACCCAUCUUGGAAGGGGCUUGGAUCCCUGAGUCACUGCUUGGAGGAGAGCUGCCUGAGAUGGCUUCCUGAUCAUGAACAUCCACGUUGGACUUUGCCUGAGCAAGGAAUAAACAUCCUAUCUUAAGACAAUGUGAUUUGGAGUUUUUGGCAUAUGACCAGCUUCAAUUACGCUGCAUAAUUUACAUGUCUUUUCCCUCUUUCCCAGGUAACUCAUAUGCCUCCCAGAUGUUUAUAUUUGGAAAGAGGGAAGAAGACCCAAAUAAUAACUGAGAUCAAAUUUCUCACCAACUCACUGGGACUCUGAGAGAUGCAUUUCAUUUGAUUUAAAGAAAAUAAAUUACUUUGAAACUAGA